This 71-nucleotide transfer RNA is filed under the name Rhinecanthus aculeatus (blackbar triggerfish). RNAcentral's name for it is "tRNA-Ile". It matches the Rfam family "tRNA". Rfam says of the family: Transfer RNA (tRNA) molecules are approximately 80 nucleotides in length. The record is from RNAcentral. Lineage: Eukaryota; Metazoa; Chordata; Actinopteri; Tetraodontiformes; Balistidae.
GGAGUUGUGCCUGAAUUUUAAGGGCCACUUUGAUAGAGUGAAACAUGGGGGUUAAAAUCCCCCCGACUCCU